AAUGAAAUGCCUGAAUAAAGGAUUAUUUUGAUAGAAUAAAUUAUGUAGGCCUCCCUACUUUCAUUA
RNAcentral lists this transfer RNA (66 nucleotides) under Vietnamella sp. MT-2014. RNAcentral's name for it is "tRNA-Ile". Lineage: Eukaryota; Metazoa; Arthropoda; Insecta; Ephemeroptera; Ephemerellidae. The record is from RNAcentral.